UAGAAGUCCUCCCUGUUGACACUGGUGCUG
RNAcentral lists this non-coding RNA (30 nucleotides) under Homo sapiens (human). Lineage: Eukaryota; Metazoa; Chordata; Mammalia; Primates; Hominidae. The record is from RNAcentral.